Molecule: non-coding RNA, 27 nt
Filed under: Homo sapiens (human)
Lineage: Eukaryota; Metazoa; Chordata; Mammalia; Primates; Hominidae
Source: RNAcentral
UGUGAUGAAUUUCCCAGGUGUUCUUGC